This is a long non-coding RNA of Astatotilapia calliptera (eastern happy), 1215 nucleotides long. NCBI's taxonomy places the organism in Eukaryota, Metazoa, Chordata, Actinopteri, Cichliformes, Cichlidae. The record is from Ensembl.
GCUAAACCUUUAAAGUGAAGCAAUGGUAGCAGUUUAGCUAAUUGUUAAAGAUAGCUAAAUACUUGUUUGCUUUAAACUUUAGAGUGACAACUAUUUAUCUUAGCACUAACAUAACCUAAGGACCUAGUCACACAGUCUGCAACCAUCUGGCAACAACCAAACAUGUAUUCUCUGAUCAGUUGUGAAUUGCUGUGAGAACUCACUGUGAGGUUGCUUGCUCAGCUCAUUUCAUACGGGCCUAGAGACCAGGGCAGCGUGCAUUCGACUGGCAACUGGUUUCUCUGUAUUGUGUGCAGUCACUAGCAUGAAAAUGAUUGCAGAAAGAUAUAUGGUACUGCACCAAAAACCUCCUUGAAAUUGCUUUAGUCACGAGCAGAUUGCUGCGGUCUUCAGCAAAUUGUCCAGAAGAUGCUGACUUUUAAAAACUAUUCGACAGGUGGUAGUGAAACUGGGAAGACAGGGUUGUCCACUAGUCUCUAGGCUUGUGUGAGUGAGGCCUAAAAAUCUACAAGUUAUAAACAAUGAAAACGAACAUUAACUGCUAAUAUAAUAUACCUGCUAGCUAUUAGCUCAACUUAGCUCACUGCUAAAUGGCUUUUAAUUGAGAGUGGUCAGUCUUUGCAUCUAGCUUUUUGCAAGAAAGCAAACCUGUAUUUUAUUCAUUUCUUUUUUAGUGUAUCAUCCAGCCCUAUUGGACAGUAUGGAGUGCAACUGGAACAAAAACAUCUGACUGCAAACUUGCACUGUGUUUUAUUAGUAGUCUGAAGUUGCCUUGAAAGCAAAAAUGUCAACCAUGUUGUAACUAAAAUCUCAUCUACAAGCAUCUCAAUCUGUAUUUAAAUGUUGCAACAGUUCUUUGUCUUUUCCUUUACCUUUGUCAGAGCUUGUACUGUACUUCAGUGUUGACACUGCCACGUUAUGACGUUAGGGCCUUUUUAAAGCGCCUUUAUUUUCUAAUCUUGCUGUGUUCAGUUCUUCAAGCUUCCAUACCUACACUGUGCUGUCUUAUGUGUCUGGAGAUUAAAGCAAAAUUGUUGGUGAGUGUUAAUGUGACUUUGUGGCUAUGAACAGUUCUAUUUUAAUAAAAAACUAACAGACUAAUUUCCGAUUGUCUGUGGCAUUAUCAUACAAAUAAGAAAAAAAAAAAAAAGUCCUGCUACUCCAGCAUGUGUAUGGUUUUUAAAGUUUGGGGCAGUUUUACUAUUCCUACUGCUG